RNAcentral lists this ribosomal RNA (492 nucleotides) under uncultured bacterium. RNAcentral's name for it is "partial 16S ribosomal RNA". It matches the Rfam family "Bacterial small subunit ribosomal RNA", at positions 29 to 507 of the family's 1533-position model. The record is from RNAcentral.
AGUGAACGCUGGCGGUAGGCCUAACACAUGCAAGUCGAACGGCAGCACAGUAAGAGCUUGCUCUUACGGGUGGCGAGUGGCGGACGGGUGAGGAAUACAUCGGAAUCUACUUUUUCGUGGGGGAUAACGUAGGGAAACUUACGUUAAUACCGCAUACGACCUACGGGUGAAAGCAGGGGAUCUUCGGACCUUGCGCGAUUGAUUGAGCCGAUGUCGGAUUAGCUAGUUGGCGGGGUAAAGGCCCACCAAGGCGACGAUCCGUAGCUGGUCUGAGAGGAUGAUCAGCCACACUGGAACUGAGACACGGUCCAGACUCCUACGGGAGGCAGCAGUGGGGAAUAUUGGACAAUGGGCGCAAGCCUGAUCCAGCCAUACCGCGUGGGUGAAGAAGGCCUUCGGGUUGUAAAGCCCUUUUGUUGGGAAAGAAAAGCAGCAGGUUAAUACCCCGCUGUUCUGACGGUACCCAAAGAAUAAGCACCGGCUAACUUCGUG